AUUGAACGCUGGCGGCAUGCCUUACACAUGCAAGUCGAACGGCAGCACGGGUGCUUGCACCUGGUGGCGAGUGGCGAACGGGUGAGUAAUACAUCGGAACAUGUCCUGUAGUGGGGGAUAGCCCGGCGAAAGCCGGAUUAAUACCGCAUACGAUCUACGGAUGAAAGCGGGGGACCUUCGGGCCUCGCGCUAUAGGGUUGGCCGAUGGCUGAUUAGCUAGUUGGUGGGGUAAAGGCCUACCAAGGCGACGAUCAGUAGCUGGUCUGAGAGGACGACCAGCCACACUGGGACUGAGACACGGCCCAGACUCCUACGGGAGGCAGCAGUGGGGAAUUUUGGACAAUGGGCGAAAGCCUGAUCCAGCAAUGCCGCGUGUGUGAAGAAGGCCUUCGGGUUGUAAAGCACUUUUGUCCGGAAAGAAAUCCUUGGCCCUAAUACGGUCGGGGGAUGACGGUGCCGGAAGAAUAAGCACCGGCUAACUACGUG
RNAcentral lists this ribosomal RNA (486 nucleotides) under uncultured bacterium. RNAcentral's name for it is "partial 16S ribosomal RNA". It matches the Rfam family "Bacterial small subunit ribosomal RNA", at positions 30 to 507 of the family's 1533-position model. The record is from RNAcentral.